RNAcentral lists this transfer RNA (93 nucleotides) under Phycisphaerae bacterium RAS1. RNAcentral's name for it is "tRNA-Gln". Lineage: Bacteria; Pseudomonadati; Planctomycetota; Phycisphaerae. The record is from RNAcentral.
GCGCCAGCGGAAAGCAGGUAGCGUGCCGGUGCUCUGGCCGCCGUCGAGCGUGACCGAGGCGCUCUGGUCGACGGUCUGAUCGUCGCCGGCGCG